This 486-nucleotide ribosomal RNA is filed under the name Klebsiella ornithinolytica. RNAcentral's name for it is "Raoultella ornithinolytica partial 23S ribosomal RNA". It matches the Rfam family "Bacterial large subunit ribosomal RNA", at positions 2313 to 2798 of the family's 2925-position model. Lineage: Bacteria; Pseudomonadati; Pseudomonadota; Gammaproteobacteria; Enterobacterales; Enterobacteriaceae. The record is from RNAcentral.
AAGGUUAGCUAAUCCUGGUCGGACAUCAGGAGGUUAGUGCAAUGGCAUAAGCUAGCUUGACUGCGAGCGUGACGGCGCGAGCAGGUGCGAAAGCAGGUCAUAGUGAUCCGGUGGUUCUGAAUGGAAGGGCCAUCGCUCAACGGAUAAAAGGUACUCCGGGGAUAACAGGCUGAUACCGCCCAAGAGUUCAUAUCGACGGCGGUGUUUGGCACCUCGAUGUCGGCUCAUCACAUCCUGGGGCUGAAGUAGGUCCCAAGGGUAUGGCUGUUCGCCAUUUAAAGUGGUACGCGAGCUGGGUUUAGAACGUCGUGAGACAGUUCGGUCCCUAUCUGCCGUGGGCGCUGGAGAAUUGAGGGGGGCUGCUCCUAGUACGAGAGGACCGGAGUGGACGCAUCACUGGUGUUCGGGUUGUCAUGCCAAUGGCAUUGCCCGGUAGCUAAAUGCGGAAAAGAUAAGUGCUGAAAGCAUCUAAGCACGAAACUUGCC